GAUGAACGCUGGCGGCGUGCCUAAUACAUGCAAGUAGAACGCUGAAGGAGGAGCUUGCUCUUCUGGAUGAGUUGCGAACGGGUGAGUAACGCGUAGGUAACCUGCCUGGUAGCGGGGGAUAACUAUUGGAAACGAUAGCUAAUACCGCAUGACAACAGUUAUUGCAUGAUAACUGUUUAAAAGGGGCAACUGCUCCACUACCAGAUGGACCUGCGUUGUAUUAGCUAGUUGGUGAGGUAACGGCUCACCAAGGCGACGAUGCAUAGCCGACCUGAGAGGGUGAUCGGCCACACUGGGACUGAGACACGGCCCAGACUCCUACGGGAGGCAGCAGUAGGGAAUCUUCGGCAAUGGACGGAAGUCUGACCGAGCAACGCCGCGUGAGGGAAGAAGGUUUUCGGAUCGUAAAGCUCUGUUGUAAGAGAAGAACGAGUGUGAGAGUGGAAAGUUCACACUGUGACGGUAUCUUACCAGAAAGGGACGGCUAACUACGUG
This 495-nucleotide ribosomal RNA is filed under the name uncultured bacterium. RNAcentral's name for it is "partial 16S ribosomal RNA". It matches the Rfam family "Bacterial small subunit ribosomal RNA", at positions 28 to 507 of the family's 1533-position model. The record is from RNAcentral.